Paramuricea clavata is the source of this 949-nucleotide non-coding RNA. The record is from the annotation of a GenBank genome assembly. Lineage: Eukaryota; Metazoa; Cnidaria; Anthozoa; Malacalcyonacea; Plexauridae.
GACUGCAAUUGUUUGCUAUUUAGUCAGCAUGGUGAUUGAAAAUUGCAGUUUUAAUUGUAUACUGUUUUACAUGUAUUUAUACCACUAUAAAGAAGAUGAUUGCCGCAUUGAUGGCUGUGAAGAACAUUACGUAUGUCGGAUUUUGGACGGUCAAUAUACAUGCGUCUGUCAAAAUGACUACACAAGAACAAACUGUACAGAAAUAACAGGUCGGUAUCAUUUCCUUUCCCCUAAAACGAUAGUGAUGAGAUUAUCUAAAGUAACUAUUAAAUAAGAAAGAAAGAAACUAUUAGGAAAGUAACUAUUCAAAUUGCCCAUAAUUAUCAAGACAGUCCACCCAUCUCUCGUUGUUUGCUACAUAUAACUAUUCUAAACUGUAACAUGGUGUCGCAAAGACUUUUUGAAAUAUACGCAAAGAGCCUUUAGUCAAAAUCUCGCAUGGAACAAAAGCUCUAAAAGUUGUUGGAGCUUAAAUAUAUGCUGCUAUAUCUCACACCAAUUUUAAUAUUGGAUUGAGGUGAGGUGGAAUAAUAUGAAAGUAAAAGUCUGUACUGUUGACAAAAUAUUGUACACAGCAGUUUUUACUUAUUGGAAUAUUUAAAGCUAUUGCAUAUUAUGCAAUAAUUAUAUCGCAAUAUGCAAACUGUACUGAAUUCACUUCUAAGUACAGUUUGCUUAAUUUAGUCGAUUUCUCUUAUAUGCAAUAUGGCGAUGCCGAGAUAUAAAAAAUCUCAAAAUACUAAACGUGUUUUGAGAUUAGUCCGAUUGCCAUGUUUUCUUACAUAUUAACCCUAUCCAGACUGGGGGGUGGAGGCGCGGAAAGUGCCCGCGCUGAUUUUAAAAGUUAAUUUAUCCUAAACUAGUACAGGCUUUAUAUGUAGAAAAUCUAAUGAAAAAAUAUUACGCCAAAAAAGUUACACGUGAACAUCUACCAACAGUAAAUUUCAGC